This 759-nucleotide ribosomal RNA is filed under the name uncultured Bacteroidota bacterium. RNAcentral describes it as "bacterial SSU rRNA". It matches the Rfam family "Bacterial small subunit ribosomal RNA", at positions 578 to 1341 of the family's 1533-position model. Lineage: Bacteria; Pseudomonadati; Bacteroidota. The record is from RNAcentral.
GAUAUGUAAGUCAGAGGUGAAAGCCCGCAGCUUAACUGUGGAAUUGCCUUUGAUACUGCAUAUCUUGAGUCUGGUUGAGGUAGGCGGAAUGUAGUAUGUAGCGGUGAAAUGCAUAGAUAUACUACAGAACACCCAUUGCGAAGGCAGCUUACCAAACCAGCACUGACGCUCAGGCACGAAAGCGUGGGGAGCAAACAGGAUUAGAUACCCUGGUAGUCCACGCCGUAAACGUUGAUCACUCGUUGUUGGCAAUACACCGUCAGCGACUAAGCAAAAGCAUUAAGUGAUCCACCUGGGGAGUACGAUCGCAAGGUUGAAACUCAAAGGAAUUGACGGGGGCCCGCACAAGCGGAGGAGCAUGUGGUUUAAUUCGAUGAUACGCGAGGAACCUUACCCGGGCUUAAAUGUAGCGUGCAUUCCCGAGAAAUCGGGAUUUCCUUCGGGACCCGCUACAAGGUGCUGCAUGGUUGUCGUCAGCUCGUGCCGUGAGGUGUCGGGUUAAGUCCCAUAACGAGCGCAACCCCUAUCUUUAGUUGCCAGCAGGUAAAGCUGGGGACUCUAAAGAAACUGCCCGCGCAAGCGGUGAGGAAGGUGGGGAUGACGUCAAAUCAGCACGGCCCUUAUGUCCGGGGCUACACACGUGCUACAAUGGCCGGUACAGUGGGCAGCUCAUGCGCGAGCAUUUGCUAAUCUCUAAAACCGGUCUCAGUCCGGAUCGGAGUCUGCAACCCGACUCCGUGAAGCUGGAUUCGCUAGUAA